AGAGUUUGAUCCUGGCUCAGGAUGAACGCUGGCGGCGUGCCUAAUACAUGCAAGUCGAACGCUUCACUUCGGUGAAGAGUGGCGAACGGGUGAGUAAUACAUAAGUAACCUGGCAUCUACAGGGGGAUAACUGAUGGAAACGUCAGCUAAGACCGCAUAGGUGUAGAGAUCGCAUGAACUCUAUAUGAAAAGUGCUACGGGACUGGUAGAUGAUGGACUUAUGGCGCAUUAGCUUGUUGGCAGGGUAACGGCCUACCAAGGCGACGAUGCGUAGCCGACCUGAGAGGGUGACCGGCCACACUGGGACUGAGACACGGCCCAGACUCCUACGGGAGGCAGCAGUAGGGAAUUUUCGGCAAUGGGGGAAACCCUGACCGAGCAACGCCGCGUGAAGGAAGAAGUAAUUCGUUAUGUAAACUUCUGUCAUAGAGGAAGAACGGUGGAUAUAGGGAAUGAUAUCCAAGUGACGGUACUCUAUAAGAAAGCCACGGCUAACUACGUGCCAGCAGCCGCGGUAAUACGUAGGUGGCGAGCGUUAUCCGGAAUUAUUGGGCGUAAAGAGGGAGCAGGCGGCACUAAGGGUCUGUGGUGAAAGAUCGAAGCUUAACUUCGGUAAGCCAUGGAAACCGUAGAGCUAGAGUGUGUGAGAGGAUCGUGGAAUUCCAUGUGUAGCGGUGAAAUGCGUAGAUAUAUGGAGGAACACCAGUGGCGAAGGCGACGAUCUGGCGCAUAACUGACGCUCAGUCCCGAAAGCGUGGGGAGCAAAUAGGAUUAGAUACCCUAGUAGUCCACGCCGUAAACGAUGAGUACUAAGUGUUGGGUGUCAAAGCUCAGUGCUGCAGUUAACGCAAUAAGUACUCCGCCUGAGUAGUACGUUCGCAAGAAUGAAACUCAAAGGAAUUGACGGGGGCCCGCACAAGCAGUGGAGCAUGUGGUUUAAUUCGACGCAACGCGAAGAACCUUACCAAGACUUGACAUCGAUUAAAUACCCUAGAGAUAGGGGGAUAGCUAUAGUCGAUACAGGUGGUGCAUGGUUGUCGUCAGCUCGUGUCGUGAGAU
This 1059-nucleotide ribosomal RNA is filed under the name human gut metagenome. Its description in RNAcentral is "bacterial SSU rRNA". It matches the Rfam family "Bacterial small subunit ribosomal RNA", at positions 8 to 1073 of the family's 1533-position model. The record is from RNAcentral.